Molecule: ribosomal RNA, 253 nt
Filed under: uncultured bacterium
Lineage: Bacteria
Description: partial 16S ribosomal RNA
Rfam family: Bacterial small subunit ribosomal RNA
Source: RNAcentral
UCCGUAGGGGGCAAGCGUUGUCCGGAUUUCUUGGGCGUAAAGAGCGUGUAGGCGGCCUGGUAGGUCAGCUGUGAAAACUCGAGGCUCAACCUCGAGACGCCGGUUGAAACCAUCAGGCUAGAGUCCGGAAGAGGAGAGUGGAAUUCCCGGUGUAGCGGUGAAAUGCGCAGAUAUCGGGAAGAACACCCGUGGCUAAGGCGGCUCUCUAGUACGGUACUGACGCUGAGACGCGAAAGCGUGGGGAGCGAACAGG